This 343-nucleotide unclassified non-coding RNA is filed under the name soil metagenome. RNAcentral's name for it is "partial contains 5.8S ribosomal RNA, internal transcribed spacer 2, and large subunit ribosomal RNA". The stretch from base 1 to 120 matches the Rfam family "5.8S ribosomal RNA", at positions 35 to 154 of the family's 154-position model. The record is from RNAcentral.
GAUGAAGAACGCAGCGAAAUGCGAUAAGUAAUGUGAAUUGCAGAAUUCAGUGAAUCAUCGAAUCUUUGAACGCACAUUGCGCCCGCCUGCAUUCUGGCGGGCAUGCCUGUUCGAGCGUCAUUUCAACCCUCGACUUCCCUUUGGGGAAAUCGGCGUUGGGGACCGGCUGUAUACCGCCGGCCCCGAAAUGAAGUGGCGGCCCGUCCGCGGCGACCUCUGCGUAGUAAUCCAACUCGCACCGGAACCCCGACGUGGCCACGCCGUAAAACCCCCGACUUCUGAACGUUGACCUCGGAUCAGGUAGGAAUACCCGCUGAACUUAAGCAUAUCAAUAAGCGGAGGA